RNAcentral lists this transfer RNA (77 nucleotides) under Gemmatimonadota bacterium. RNAcentral's name for it is "Gemmatimonadetes bacterium tRNA-His". It matches the Rfam family "tRNA". Rfam says of the family: Transfer RNA (tRNA) molecules are approximately 80 nucleotides in length. Their secondary structure includes four short double-helical elements and three loops (D, anti-codon, and T loops). Lineage: Bacteria; Pseudomonadati; Gemmatimonadota. The record is from RNAcentral.
GUGGGUGUAGCUCAGUCGGUCAGAGCGCCUGGUUGUGGCCCAGGAGGUCGGGGGUUCAAAUCCCCUCACUCACCCCA